Molecule: transfer RNA, 84 nt
Filed under: Candidatus Woesearchaeota archaeon
Lineage: Archaea; Nanobdellati; Candidatus Woesearchaeota
Description: tRNA-Leu
Rfam family: tRNA
About the family: Transfer RNA (tRNA) molecules are approximately 80 nucleotides in length.
Source: RNAcentral
GAGGGGUUAGCGAAGUGGUCAAACGUGACAGACUCAAGAUCUGUUGACUUAGUGUCUUCGAGGGUUCGAAUCCCUCACCCCUCA